UGGGGGAAUUUUGGACAAUGGGCGAAAGCCUGAUCCAGCAAUGCCGCGUGUGUGAAGAAGGCCUUCGGGUUGUAAAGCACUUUUGUCCGGAAAGAAAUCCUUGGCUCUAAUACAGUCGGGGGAUGACGGUACCGGAAGAAUAAGCACCGGCUAACUACGUGCCAGCAGCCGCGGUAAUACGUAGGGUGCAAGCGUUAAUCGGAAUUACUGGGCGUAAAGCGUGCGCAGGCGGUUUGCUAAGACCGAUGUGAAAUCCCCGGGCUCAACCUGGGAACUGCAUUGGUGACUGGCAGGCUAGAGUAUGGCAGAGGGGGGUAGAAUUCCACGUGUAGCAGUGAAAUGCGUAGAGAUGUGGAGGAAUACCGAUGGCGAAGGCAGCCCCCUGGGGCCAAAUACUGACGCUCAUGCACGAAAGCGUGGGGGAGCAAACAGGAUUAGAUACCCUGGUAGUCCACGCCCUAAACGAUGUCAACUAGUUGUUGGGGAUUCAUUUCCUUAGUAACGUAGCUAACGCGUGAAGUUGACCGCCUGGGGAGUACGGUCGCAAGAUUAAAACUUAAAUGAAUUGAC
RNAcentral lists this ribosomal RNA (570 nucleotides) under uncultured bacterium. RNAcentral's name for it is "partial 16S ribosomal RNA". It matches the Rfam family "Bacterial small subunit ribosomal RNA", at positions 354 to 914 of the family's 1533-position model. The record is from RNAcentral.